CCUACGGGUGGCAGCAGUGGGGAAUAUUGCACAAUGGGGGAAACCCUGAUGCAGCGACGCCGCGUGAGUGAAGAAGUAUUUCGGUACGUAAAGCUCUAUCAGCAGGGAAGAAAAUGACGGUACCUGACUAAGAAGCCCAGGCUAACUACGUGCCAGCAGCCGCGGUAAUACGUAGGGGGCAAGCGUUAUCCGGAGUUACUGGGUGUAAAGGGAGCGUAGACGGCAGCGCAAGUCUGGAGUGAAAUCCCAUGGCUUAACCAUGGAACUGCUUUGGAAACUGUGCAGCUAGAGUGCAGGAGAGGUAAGCGGAAUGCCUAGUGUAGCGGUGAAAUGCGUAGAUAUUAGGAGGAACACCAGUGGCGAAGGCGGCUUACUGGACUGUAACUGACGUUGAGGCUCGAAAGCGUGGGGAGCAAACAGGAUUAGAUACCCCUGUAGUC
Molecule: ribosomal RNA, 440 nt
Filed under: uncultured bacterium
Lineage: Bacteria
Description: partial 16S ribosomal RNA
Rfam family: Bacterial small subunit ribosomal RNA
Source: RNAcentral